This is a non-coding RNA of Cricetulus griseus (Chinese hamster), 138 nucleotides long. NCBI's taxonomy places the organism in Eukaryota, Metazoa, Chordata, Mammalia, Rodentia, Cricetidae. The record is from RefSeq and is a predicted model, not a curated record.
CUGUACAGACUGCUGCCACGCUGGCUGGCUAAGUAACUCUGUACAAACAUAUCUCCAUUUGCAUGCAUGGAAAUCUGCUACUACAAAUGUUUCAGUGGAUGCUGAUGGAAGCAGAAGCAGAGAUCCACAGCCGAGCAC